Long non-coding RNA from Canis lupus familiaris (dog), 290 nucleotides. RefSeq lists it as uncharacterized. NCBI's taxonomy places the organism in Eukaryota, Metazoa, Chordata, Mammalia, Carnivora, Canidae. The record is from RefSeq and is a predicted model, not a curated record. The transcript is spliced from 4 exons.
CAAAAGCAACCAGCAUUGUGGUUUACAAGUACAACAAAGUAGAGAGAAUCAACUCUUUACUGAGGUCCUUUGCUGCUGAUCUUCCAGAUGUUCUCUCCCGUGGAGCUCUGUCUUUUAUGGGAGACACUGGAAUAACCAUGGGAGCUUUGGAACGAGACCAACUUGGAUUCAAAUUCCAGCUCUGUCAACCAUGUGAUUAUAGCUGUGCAUGGCCCCCUCGAGUGAAGUAGACAAAGGACGUCUCCUGAGACACUUGAGUCUCACCAUAUUAAAGUCAUUGCAUUUUUUUA